CAAGGAUUCCCUAGUAACUGCGAGUGAAGCGGGAAAAGCUCAAAUUUAAAAUCUGGCGUUCUCUGGGCGUCCGAGUUGUAAUCUGGAGAAGCGUUUUCCGCGUUGGACCGUGUACAAGUCUCCUGGAACGGAGCGUCAUAGAGGGUGAGAAUCCCGUCCAUGACACGGACUACCAAUGCUUUGUGAUACGCUCUCGAAGAGUCGAGUUGUUUGGGAAUGCAGCUCAAAAUGGGUGGUAAAUUCCAUCUAAAGCUAAAUAUUGGCGAGAGACCGAUAGCGAACAAGUACCGUGAGGGAAAGAUGAAAAGCACUUUGGAAAGAGAGUUAAACAGUACGUGAAAUUGUUGAAAGGGAAACGCUUGAAGUCAGUCGCGUCUUGCGGAACUCAGCCUUACUUCGGUUUGGUGUACUUUCUGUUUGACGGGUCAACAUCAAUUUUGAUCGGUAGAAAAAGCUUGAGGAAAUGUAGCGUUGUUUCGSCGACGUGUUAUAGUCUUCUUGCGUAUAUAUCGGUUGGGAUUGAGGACCGCAGCACGCCUUUAAUGGCCGGGGGUUCGCCCUACGUAUCGUGCUUAGGAUGUUGGCAUAAUGGCUUUAAGCGACCCGUCUUGAAACACGGACCAAGGAGUCUAACAUGCUUGCGAGUGUUCGGGUGGAAACCCUUGCGCGUAAUGAAAGUGAAAGUUGGGAACCUCCGCAAGGGGGUGCACCGACGCCCGGCCCUGAAGUUCUCUGACGGUGCUGCGGUAGAGCACGUAUGUUGGGACCCGAAAGAUGGUGAACUAUGCCUGAAUAGGGCGAAGCCAGAGGAAACUCUGGUGGAGGCUCGUAGCGAUUCUGACGUGCAAAUCGAUCGUCAAAUUUGGG
This 867-nucleotide ribosomal RNA is filed under the name Hydnoporia olivacea. Its description in RNAcentral is "eukaryotic LSU rRNA". It matches the Rfam family "Eukaryotic large subunit ribosomal RNA", at positions 69 to 915 of the family's 3401-position model. Lineage: Eukaryota; Fungi; Basidiomycota; Agaricomycetes; Hymenochaetales; Hymenochaetaceae. The record is from RNAcentral.